Molecule: long non-coding RNA, 1727 nt
Organism: Hibiscus syriacus
Lineage: Eukaryota; Viridiplantae; Streptophyta; Magnoliopsida; Malvales; Malvaceae
Exons: 7
Source: RefSeq, a predicted model, not a curated record
AGUGGACAAUUGAAGCAAUGCUUCUCGGCUUUCAUCGCCUCAGCCCUAGCCUCUUAUCGCCAAAACCCCUUAAAAGUCCAGAGGGUAAAACUAAACGUCGUGGGAUUCUACCUUAUCUUCGUCUUCUCUUGAUGACUCUACCGGCUUAAACCAAAAUUCUGAUCUCAGACCGGUUGGCCAACGUUUCGAUUUGUUGACACUCACUGAACCUAGUCGUGGAAAUGGCGAUGACUUUGCCAAUGCAUCGUUGAAUCGGGAGAGAGACAACGGUGAUGAAGAAGACGACCAAUUAAUUGUGGAGAAUAAGGAUAUAAUAUGUGACGAAAGGCCCUCUAGUUCUACCAGUAGUGGAUAUGCCGGUGAGAGAGGAAGUAGUAGUGCCACGAGCGAGUCUAGGAUCGAUGAAGUGAGUGAAAUUGAUGGUAAUGAGAUUCAUGAAGUAAGGAACCAUGGUUUCCUCGAAGGAUUCUCCGUUAAUCAAGCACCCCCUUGGGUUCCAGGUAAACGCCAUGUUGAUGAGGUUAGCCAUUCCAGUUCUUUUUCCUUGUUGAACAAAAAAAAUGGUUUAGCUUGUUUUUCGCCGAAUUUAGUAAAUUUAAAGUUGGGAAUGUUUAUGAGGCUUUGGAAUUUGGAUCAGUGGAUAACGAUUUUAUUGUUUGAGUGUAAGAAUUAUUAGCCUUUCAUGGUUUGAUUUGGAAACAAAAAGAAAGAAGCAACUUCAAACAAUCUUUGCUAUAUUGCAUCAUGUUUAAUUUAGGAAUGAAGUGCAGGAUGAUGGUUCGACAGCAUGGAGAAAGAGGAAGAAACACUUCUUUAUUUUGAGUAAUUCUGGUAAAUCGAUAUAUUCCAGAUAUAGAGAUGAACACAAACUAGCUGGUUUCUCAACUACAUUACAAGCCAUCAUUUCCUUCGUGGAGAAUGGGGGAGAUCGUAUCAAAUUGAUCAAGGCUGGGAAACACCAGGUAUUGUUACACUUGCUACUUUUGGAUUUGAAAUUUAUGUACUUUCUAAUUUUCCAGCUCUGCAAUCAGUUGUUAUUAGACUACUUGCAUUUGAAAUACUUUCUCAUCCAUUUAAUGAUUAAUCUUUUAAGUAUUCCUUUGAAUUGACUUUUCAUAUUUUUGAAAUUGCAUUCUUUAGAAAUAAACACUGAGGAGUUGCAAUUUAAUUUCUGUUUCACAGUAGUAUAAUCAGCGUAGUUUCAUUAAAUGUGAUGGAACUUUAAUCCUCAAAUAGUUUUGUAAUAUUUGGCAAGACGUGUCAAUUAAUUUUAAAAAGAAAAGUGAAUGAUGUGAUAGCCGUUUGUUUGAUAUUGUUAGAAAUAGACAUGUUUACAUGGACAAAGAAGUGUUGGCCUUCUAUUUUUCUUUUGGUAGAUGAUCUGGGUGAUUUUUCUGCGGAGCUUAAACUGUCGUUUUUUCAGCUUGGUAUCAGCCCUUAGAUCAUUGCAUCCAUAAUUAUGCAGGUCAAGGUUCGUCUCUAAUUAUAUGUGUUGGAAUAUUAACUAGAUACACAGAUACGCUGUAUGAGAUGUUGACUCAACUCUCAGGCAGUGCCGUGAGUUGGUGGCCGUACAUGCUUGCUGUAUUAGGUGUUUUUACUGUAGUCACCAUGUGGGCAGCUGUAAUUGAGGGUUGCAGGAAAAUAAAGCUGCAGUACUAUGGGUUUAAACUAGCAUCUGCUGCAAGUGUCCCUGUCAGUCGGGAGGUACCGAGUGUGGAUAUUAU